UACCGGCGGCUCGAGUGGUGGCCACUAUUACUGGGCUUAAAGGGUCCGUAGCUUGAGCAAUAAGUCCCUUGGGAAAUUCAGCAGCUUAACUGGUGAUAGUUCAGGGGACACUGUUGUUCUAGGGAUCGGGAGAGGUAAGAGGUACUGCCGGGGUAGGAGUGAAAUCCUGUAAUCCCGGUGGGACCACCGAUGGCGAAGGCAUCUUACCAGAACGACUCCGACAGUGAGGGACGAAAGCUGGGGGAGCAAA
This 250-nucleotide ribosomal RNA is filed under the name uncultured archaeon. Its description in RNAcentral is "partial 16S ribosomal RNA". It matches the Rfam family "Archaeal small subunit ribosomal RNA", at positions 474 to 723 of the family's 1478-position model. The record is from RNAcentral.